GUCAGGAUGGCCAAGCGGUCUAAGGUGCUGCGUUAAGGUUGCAAUUUCCCCUGGAGGCGUGGGUUCGAAUGCCACUUCCGACA
Non-coding RNA from Danio rerio (zebrafish), 83 nucleotides. The record is from Rfam. Lineage: Eukaryota; Metazoa; Chordata; Actinopteri; Cypriniformes; Danionidae.